This is a long non-coding RNA of Podarcis muralis (Common wall lizard), 801 nucleotides long. RefSeq lists it as uncharacterized. Lineage: Eukaryota; Metazoa; Chordata; Lepidosauria; Squamata; Lacertidae. The record is from RefSeq and is a predicted model, not a curated record.
CAGACAAGACUGCACACUGUUUUGAUACUGACAUGUGAAUCUCUUCACCUAUUAGCUUUCUGAAGUUUUUGGAGACUGUUUAUAAAGUUGUCUUCAAUGGAGAGUCCACUGUGCCUCUGUCUCUACACAUUUUUUCAAUUAAAAUAUCAUCUUUAGUUAAAUCUCCACUGGGGAGUGCAGCGGCAGUCUGAGGCAGACAAGAAGGGGGAACAGGGGCCUGAGACAAGGGCAGAGAGGCUGGAGAAGGUGGGUGCUGCCUCCUCCCAGGAUGCAGCUGACUCCGAUGAGAUUGCAGAACUCCUGCCUCUCCCCUUCCCUCUGGGGGUAGGAGUGCAGCAAUGGAAUCUGGGAAGGGAAUCUGCCCACUUCCCAAUGAUGCUGGAUAAACUGGAUAAAUUAGCUUCAGGAGGGAAGGGCACCAUCUCCCAGGACCUGGCAGUUCCCUGUUGCUGCAAACAGAGGCCUCAACCCUGAUUCACGCCUGGCACUCUUGAAAGGCACAAGCGUCUCAUAGCACACAAACAGACCUAGAUCAUGACAGCAUCCUGAGUUGGGGCAGAGGGAGAUUGGUAUGCACUCUGCCAAAAAUAGCUGCCACCAAGGGAUGUCAGAGGAAUCUAUUGAAAAUGAACUAGCCAGCCUGUAUGCACCAAGACUACAAUCCUAACCAUGCCUACUCAAGACACAAUUCUCACUGAAUUCAGCAGGGCUUACUGCCAGGUAAGUUGAGUUAGGAUCGCAUCCUUAAUCUACUUCCUACUGUGAAUUUUAAAAGCCAGUGGGAUUCAGCAUUCACUAUUG